UUCUUAUAGAUUUAAUUAUAAGUACAGCCUGCUCCAUGUUAAAUUAAUAGCCGCAGAAAAUUUACUGUGCUAAGGUAGCAUAAUCAUUAGCCUUUUAAUUAAAGACUAGAAUGAAAGGCUUCACAUUUCAAUUUCUUUUUUUAAACCCAUACUAGAAUUUAUGCUAAACAUUAAAACACGUUUAUUUAUUAGAUAGACGACAAGACCCUAUUAAACUUUACUUUAGUUAAGCUGGGGCAGCUAAUUAAUUAUUAUUUUAAUUUCAUAAUUAUAAUAAAUUAACCCAAUAAAAUUGAAAACAACAAGUUACUAUAGGGAUAACAGCGCUAUUUUGUUUUUAAGCUCUUAUUUAAAAUAAAGAUUACGACCUCGAUGUUGAAUAAUUUAACUUAAUUAUGCACCCAUAAUUUAAGUAAGUCUGUUCGACUUAUAAAAAAUUACA
This 442-nucleotide ribosomal RNA is filed under the name Pahorinae sp. New Zealand CG226. RNAcentral describes it as "partial 16S ribosomal RNA". It matches the Rfam family "Bacterial large subunit ribosomal RNA", at positions 1831 to 2600 of the family's 2925-position model. Lineage: Eukaryota; Metazoa; Arthropoda; Arachnida; Araneae; Synotaxidae. The record is from RNAcentral.